AAGCCUCUGUUUUUUUCUUUCUUUUGUGCUUUUCAAUGUCAAUUUUGGAUAUCAACACAUCAUUUUUCCCCUUGCACAAGAAAAAAGUAGUCAUCACUCUUCACUCACUCACUCACUCCUGCUUUCAAAGAGGAAACCAACACAUACAAUUGUGAAGAUUUUAAGCUGAAAGCCUAUUUGCAUUCUGCUUUCAAAUUUUGAGAUCCAUUCUCAUUCUUGAUCAUAAUUCAAGUAGAGGCACUUUUCAAUUUGCUCCCUUUUUGAUUUUUGAGAGUAGAGAGCCAAAAAGACUGAAAGGAAAGAAAAGCUUAGGAAUGCCUGGGGAAGCAGUUGGAGGUGGAUGAGUCAGAAUACAUUAACCUAUUCUGAAUUGCAUAUAGAAGAUUUGUGGCAAGGGAAUUAGAAUUGAUUUUUGAAUAUGGUAUAGAAUUGUUUUUGCAUACAAAAAUAAAAAAUAAAAAAUAAAAGCCCCAAUUUACUUGGGUUCAUCUAAAUCUCAAACAUUGUAAAUCGGGAGAUAAAGAAAUUGAUAGAACAAAAAUCAUAGAAAAAUAAAAGAAAAUUACAAAGAUGGAGAGAGAGAAUUCAUAACGUUAUAGAGAUGGAGCGCGUGAAAUAUGAGCAAAAGCCCUAGAGAGAGAGGUUUAGCUAAAGCAAAGUGUUUAUGUAAAAGAAAUUAGAGCUGACCAGCAUAUAUAGAACUUCUCAAAUGAACCAUGGACAACAAUUUUGCUCUGCUUUUUUUUCAUAAUUUUUGUUUUUCUUAACUCUGUUUUUCAAAAACAAAGCCAAACAUGUACAAAAUUUCUUGCUCCCUGCAUUUUUGUCUUUGAAAAUAACCAAAAAUCUGUAAUUUAAACUCUUCCAAACAUACUUCUCACUUCACUUUCAUCAAAUUAAAAAAAAAAAAAAAACUCCCAAAAAGGAAAUAAAGUAACAGAAAAUCGCGGCAAAAGAUUAUACACUAAAUCUACAAGAAAGAACUUCAUACCUCUGACUCUAAAUUCCAAAGAUCUCCGUCUCCGAAUCAAAUUUCCUGAAAAAUAUUAUUCCUUAGAGCUUCAACUAUCCGUGAAUGGCGAAAUCACUGUUCACCGAGCUUCAUAGCCUCAAGCAUUUCUCAGUUUCUCUCUGUAC
This is a long non-coding RNA of Cannabis sativa, 1137 nucleotides long. RefSeq lists it as uncharacterized. The record is from RefSeq and is a predicted model, not a curated record. Lineage: Eukaryota; Viridiplantae; Streptophyta; Magnoliopsida; Rosales; Cannabaceae. The transcript has 2 exons.